Molecule: long non-coding RNA, 1444 nt
Filed under: Numida meleagris (helmeted guineafowl)
Lineage: Eukaryota; Metazoa; Chordata; Aves; Galliformes; Numididae
Description: lncRNA (ENSNMEG00000020904.1)
Source: RNAcentral
CAGUCGCUCUGGAGAUUCACAUUGAAGACCCAGGAAGAUGUGGCUUCUCCAGGGCAGACAUGCAUACAAGCAUGUCUGAAAACCAAUAGAAGACCAGAGGGAUCAUAAAGAUGACUUUUCCAACGGCGUUACAGACGCAAUACUGGAGGUAGUUUUCAUAGGUGCAUUAGACUGUGGAAGACUUCCUGGCCCAGAUUCCAGCUCCCGCCACCUCCAGUUCUGCUGCUGAGAGCUCCCAACCUCGGUCCCAGUGACAGGUUUAGAUCCACUGUGGCUACCUUGCUCGUGGUCUGGGCCACCAAACUCAGGUACGUAGGGGUUCUUAAAGGAUGGAAAAGUGUGAGAGGGAGGCUGGGAGAAACCUCUAUGGGAAGGAAGUCACCCAAUGGUAGGCACCACCCACUGGUUAGUGGGGAUGGUCGUCAGCCUGGGAGCAGGUUAUAGUCUUGACAGGAAUGGGUUAAUUGAGUGUUUGAUGUUAAAGGCUUCUGUUGGUGUAUUUUGUGCUGCAGUAUCACUUUUAUUCCUAUGUUUGAUAGGAUAACUUAAGGUCUUUUUUUUUUUUUUUUUAAUUUCCAUUGGAUUUGUCUUUCCUUUCUGUGGAUUGUCUUCUAUUCCCUUCUUAGCAUGCCCCAUAUACAAACUGGGAUUUUUAAGGUAAGAGGAAAACCAGGAAGAUUUUAAGAACUACUGUUUUCUAGGUCCCUUGAUAAGGUACUUUCCAAGGAGGUUACCCACCAACUUUCUGUGAGAUUCUAAUCUUGUUCUCUUGAAUUGAAGAGAGUCCAGUUGUCUUCAGUAGACUAGACAAUAUCGAACACAAAUUUUUAACUAGUUUGUCAAAUGUCUCAUUGCUGUUCGCUAUCUGAGAUGUUCCAUGGGUUACCAUGAAAGGCCUGGACACCUAGUUUUGUAUUACAAAUUCAACAGAAUUAUGGUAUUUUUGUGUACUUUCAAGAACAUAGAGAAGUAAUUGAGUUUGCACCGUCACAUUUGGCUGUGACUAAAAAAGAUUAAGCAAAAUGGAGUCUUGUAUUGUGUGCACACAAUACAAGUCCCUGAAAACUUCUAUAUGUCAGUGCAAUUAAUUCUGUGGGAUCUAUAACUGUAACUGCUAAGAGUUGCAACUGUACAACAGUAGUAAGAGGAAAAGUAAUUAGUUUAUGAUGUCAUUUCUUAGAGAUAAGAGUGAGACAUUUUAAUGCACUCCAGAAAGAUACACCAACCUACAGCAGCUGGUGAGACAUCAGCUCCACCUACAGCAAAGGCUGCUCUAUAGCUCUCAUAGAAACACAUUGAAUAGAUCCAAAACAUUGGCACUUGUGGUAGUUCCUCUAGCUCAGGAAGGUUACCUAACUACAAGGAGGUACAAACAGGCAGCGGAUUAAAGAGGCCUGCAGGGAGCUACUGAGUCCUGUGCAACUUCAUACGGAGGAAUUUUUAA